RNAcentral lists this long non-coding RNA (250 nucleotides) under Vigna radiata. RNAcentral describes it as "long non-coding RNA (VRAD_LNC011781)". Lineage: Eukaryota; Viridiplantae; Streptophyta; Magnoliopsida; Fabales; Fabaceae. The record is from RNAcentral.
GUACAUGUAUUAAGUGGAAACUCACCAAGUACGAUACGUGGAUGGUGACAUGUUUAGGGUAGGGGUAGGAAGCACAAAGUAGGUUGAGACAUCAACAUCAAUUUUUUUUUUUUAAUUUUUCCUUAUUUAUGAAGUUUUCUAAAAGUUAAAUAAAUACUUAAUUUUAUAUAUUUUUUUUUAUUUUAUAACCUUUUUCAAUCACAUAUACUUUUAUAGCUCAAAUAGAAUAUUUAACAUAGUUGUAUCUUUA